This is a long non-coding RNA of Platichthys flesus (European flounder), 15605 nucleotides long. RefSeq lists it as uncharacterized. The record is from RefSeq and is a predicted model, not a curated record. The transcript is spliced from 9 exons. NCBI's taxonomy places the organism in Eukaryota, Metazoa, Chordata, Actinopteri, Pleuronectiformes, Pleuronectidae.
CUUGAGCCUCAACUAAUCUUUGAACAUAUGCAUAUUUUAAACAAGUCUCAAAAUACAGUCAAGGAUUAGCUUAUGUAUCAUGCCUCAUUUCAACCUUCAGUCUUUUGUCCAAUAAAAAACAGUUGAACAAGGAUGUUAGUUGACAGGAGGUUUGUGUACCUGAUGAUCAGUGUUUGCCAUUAAAAACCUUGUCUAUGAUGGCCGACCAUAAUAUGAACUUUAUUUGUAUAGCACUUAUCUAGAAGGUUACAUGGAACAUAUUAAAGUCAAGACCUAAAAUGUAUAGAGAACCCCCAAAGUUCCCACACACACACACACAGACACACACACACACACACACACACACACACACACACACACACACACACACACACACACACACACACACAUCCGGACACUUAAGGAAGUCCAAUCUUAGUUGGUUAUUUUCAGGGCUGAUAUAGAUUAUUAGAAAUUAAGUAAAAUCAUCUGUACUGCACACAGUUUUCCAUUAGGCAUUUGCAUAAAACAGAGAAAUAUUGAGAUUAUUAUGACAAGUGUAAAAUAUUAAACUGGUGGGACAACUGAGACUAUGUAAGCCGAUUUCAAGCUUUGAUGGUGGUGAAACCUCAUGUUCUAUAUUUUUUUAUGCUACUAUAAGCAUAUGUAUAAAUUAACCGUUUGUCAGUCACCUCCAGUCAAGCAGGUGAAGAUAAAAAUACAGGUUGCAAAUGGGAAGACUCAAUUAUAAAGAAAUUAAAUGUAGCUGUCAUCAGGGGUGUUUUUUUUACAUUUGCAGCCGUGAAACUAUUCAGAAAGCUCAUGUGAACUCUGAAACAGUGUUAAUUUUGGCAGCUAUUUUUGAUUUAGUCUUAGUCUUUUGACGAAAAUGCAAAUUAGUUUUAGUCACAUUUAGUCAUUUUUAACCUUCUUAGUUUUAGUCUUGUUUUCGUAGACGAAAACUAAUUCCAUUUUAGUCUAGUUUUAGUCGACGAAAAAUAAUUUCCUUUUUAGUCUAGUUUUAGUCAGCUACGGACCGGUGCGCCAUCUGGGAGCGCACAGGCACACACACACAAACACACACAGACACACACAUAGACUCACUCACACAUAGACUCACUCGCCCGCUCCUGAUACUUCAUGACGGCCUGAUACGAUGAUGUUUUAAAAAUUAUUGUGACUUAGUCAACCACCAACUUUUUCGCCUCGUCAACGAAGGUUAAAAUGGAUUUAGUCAUAGUUUUUAUUUUCAAAGAUUAGUUUUCGUUAAGUCUUCGUCUCGUCUUCGUCAUGGAAAAAAGUUCGUUAACGAAUAUUUUUCGUUAUAGUAACGAAAUUAACACUGCUCUGAAAGAGUAACUAGUAGGGAUGAGCGAGUACAGCAUUAUCUGUAUCUGUUAACCAUAUGAAUUAUCUGUAUCCGUAGCCGUACUCGGAGUGGGCGGGGCCUGACCCGGAAGUGGGUGUGAUUUAACCCGGGAGUGUGUGAGUGAGUGAGUGUGUGUAUGAGUGUGUAGCUUAAUUUGUAAUAUUUUUUAUACCACUACUACCUAGAAUGUGUCAGACACUCAGUGCGUGAAGUAAAAUAAAGCUGGUUAGAGCCAACUGACGGUUUAAAAAAAAAGAAAAUGAGAGAGAGAGAGAGAGACGCUUUCUACCAGUCCCACGUUUAACAGAACUCUACUGGUUAAUAAGUAAGUACAAACUGAAAUAAAAACAGACUUCAAGCUCAAGAAACCCUAAACGUUAACGGAAAAGACCCGCGAACCUGAGUGACUGAAAGACAGAGAGCUGUUCUGUGAGUGAGCAGAGCGGUGUGUGAAGGGGAGGAGCGCUGUGACGCUGUGUGAGGAAUUUCAUUCAGUCCGAGCACAGAUAUUGACUCGUAUUACUCGUAUAAUACUCGUGCUCGGCAAAAGUGCUUUAUCCGUACCGGAUACUCGUUUCAGCCGAGUAUCCGGCUCAUCUCUAGUAACUAAUUCAAAUGCAACAUUUACUAUGGAGACGUAGUAAAACUACGACUAAAGGUUUAUGCCUGUUAAAACGUUUGUAAACUUGAUUUCAACUGCGAAAAAAAUUGCAAGCUGAUCUACUAACAGUGCACAUUGAGGUUUGUGUGCAGAAUAACUUGCGCUGUCUAUUUCGUACGUUUGCCUUAAUGAAUAUGCAAUAUCAGGCGUUUUCUACCAGAGUGCAAUAAAUAUUAGGCGGCUUAGAUGCAUAUACUUUAAUGGAGCACACGCUAUGUGAUUUACAAAGCCUGAACAUCAUGCAGUGGUUAUGACUUCACCUAUAUUUAAAUACGUUUGAAAGCUAGCUGCUAAUCAGCACAGCGUUGCGCACAGAUGGCUGCUCAAUAUUGGUCAGAGAAAUCUCUUCCACGGGCCCACAACCUGUUAUAUUGGCCUUUUCUUAAGAGAAGAAGUCCUGCCAUCUUCUCUUAAUUUCAUCGGUUGUCCUUUCUGUUUUACCCACAACAUUUAGUUUCUUGCAGAUACUCUCCCAUAUCGCGUUUCUUUGAGUUAUAUAAUAAUAAUAAUAAUACAUUUUAUUUCACAGCGCCUUUCAUGUCACUCAAGGACGCUUUACAAUUUAAAACAGGAGCAAACAAAUAACAAAACAAUUAAAAUUAAAAGUGCAAGUAAAAACAGCAGAUUUUACUAGAGAGAUGUCACUAGAACCGAUACUUACGAUACCCUUGGAUGCUAAAAUAACAAAACGCAGACGAAGCCCAUUUUUUUGAAGCAACGUUAGCACCUUGAGCGCCGAUGCCAGCUGUUAGCAUAUAUACGUUCAACAUAUAUGGCUGCACUGUUAUAUCCACUGUUUUGUUUUGCACUGUUGUUGUUUUUGCACAGUACCUUUUGAAAAGAUGCCACAAAGUCUGGAAUGUGUCUGGGGACACUCGUUGUUGCACUGUGACCAUUCAUUGCACUUUAUUAUGUUGUGCUAUGCUCUAUUGCACAUGUUUUGUUUGUCUUAUGACAUUUUUCAGUUUUUCAAAUAUUUUAAUAAAGAAGUUCAUGUUUCAAGUUCAAGUACAUGGUGCUGUGCAAUAGUAGGAGUAGAAUUGACGUUGGCUAAUUAUUAAUAAUCAUGAAAUAUGAUUAUUAAAAUAACAAUUAUUUAUUAAAAAUAAUCUAAAAUGAUAAAGCUAUUAAUUAAGAACAGUAACACAUUUAAUUAGAAAUGAUACGGUUAUCCAUUAAUAAUAGUUAAAAUAAUUAAUGAAAACAAUAAAAUUAUCAAUUAAGAAUAAUACAAAUCUGUAAUCAUUGCUUAUUGUCGCGGGGCACCACCCUGGUUACAGGGACCAACGAGUCAAUCUAUAAAAUAUCAGUCUCAUAAUGAUAAAUGUCAAAUCAAUAAUCUCAAUAUUUAAUAUUAAUAAUUAUUGAAUUAACAGUGAAGGCUUCUAAGUUCGAGCACAGGCAAUCAUAAUCCAGCUGUAAUCACAUACAUAUGCACAAAUAAUCACAGACUAGAGGUACUUUCAUUACAAAAGCGUUUAUUAAAGGGGAAAUAAAGUUAUAAUGUUAUUCAAUGAUUCAUCAUUUUAACAAGCUCCGAUAUUUCAAAGAUAAACAUAGCAGCAGCACUUCACAAUUCAGAAAAUACAUGUAAAACCGGCGGUCUACCUAUGUAUGUCUGUCUCGGUGUGUGUGUGUGUCUGUGUCAAGUGUCUCUCUGUGUGUGUGUCUAUAUGUGUGCAUGUGAAAUACAGUUAGUGUUAUUUAAUGAUUCAUCAUUUUAACAAACUCCCAUAUUUCAAAGAUAACAACAGCAGCCGCGUAUCACAAUUUAGAGGAGAGGGAGAGAGGAGGCGUGGCAAUAAUAGCCUCAAAAUGGUGGUUUAACUUGCUUUAUUCAAAAUGGAGUCUGUUAAUGACACCAUGUGGCCGGCACGGACGUAAUUUGGGGGGGGGACACAGGGGACAUGUCCCCUGCACUUUUUCAAAAGGCCGUUCUGGUCCCCUGCAGUUUUCACCGUCCGGAAACCAUGUUACGCUAUGAAUCGGUGUGUGUGUAAAUGCAAACAUGGUAUUUACUUAAAAAUAGUAAAUUGACUUAAAUCAGUUUUAUCAAAAUGCUAUUAACACUCGCUUUUAGUAAGUUACUUGUAAUUUGUGGUUGGAAAAUCUCACCAGCUCAGUCUGCUUGAGCUGGAUUGAUUUAGAAAAAGUAUGUUUUUGAUAACUGUGCUUAUUUUCUGUGUUGGAAUGUAGCUAAGUACAUUUACUCAAUACUGCACUACAGUACAAAGUACUUUAAGUACUUGAGUUUUUUUUCAUAUUACUUUCUACUUUUACUCCACUACAUUUCAGAGGGAAACAUUAUAUGUUUUACAUCACUGCAUAUGUUAUGAUAUACGUGAUAUAUAAUAAUAAUCACAAGAGCCAUUUUCCUCUAUUGAGUAUGCUACUUUUUACUUUUAAUAUUUCAAGUAUUUAUUUUUGUGGUCAUAUGUUUUUACUUAAUUGAAAUUUUCACUCCAGGACAUGUACUUGUUUUGUAACAGAAUAAUUUCACGGAGUAGUAUUAGUACUUUUGCUUUGUUAUGGUUUGAAAACUUCGCCCGCUUUUAAUUUUUUUUUUCGAUCUAUCGGCAUGCGCAAAUCCGUCCUCUCUACCGUUGACGGUACAUGCCCGCAACGGACGACGUGUACCUGAGCUGUAUGGCGCCGGACCGGUUGAGCUGGACCGUAUUGAGCUGCAACGGCACUCGUGCUUUAUCAGCCUUCGUGUGCUUGGCACACUCAUUUGGCUCAGGCAGAUAGUGGUCAAUCCACAGUUCCCUUGAUGUCUAGCCACAAAGAUUUUUAAGAAGACAAAAAAACUUCCUAUGCAGUGGACGUGUAAGUACUGCACAUUCAUCUCACAAAUGAUGGACCAAUCAUUCCCACUACGCAGACAAGAAAUUGUAAAAAAGGAGCCUGCUGUACACAACAUGGUUGAACGAUGGCCAGCACUCUUCACAGAGAGACAGGUGUUUGCCGAGUUUAAUAGAAUCGCCAGUAAGAAUCUUGAGGGAGACUUCUUUGAGGCUCUGGACCAGUACACUCAUCGAAAUUUUCAGAACAAAAAAGGGAACUGUUGGCCGGAAACUCAGUGAGCUGAUGCAGCACAUGAGCUGGAUGACAUCAGACGUGACAGUACUUCGCUCUGUUGUCCUCAAAGGCAUUCCAAUUUUACUUGUUGACGACUCCAGUGAAUUCUUCAAGACAUGCUCUGAUACAGCAAGAGACGAGGCCCUAGAAUGGAUCACUGUUGGUGUGCUGACAGUUGUCAGUGAAGAUAGUCCUCACGAGUGUCCAAGUUCAGUGGACCUCCAGCCCAUCUCCACUGCCAUCAUUCUGGAGGGAAUCCAUUCAAGUACCAUGUUAUGCUGUUAUGCUAAUAGUGGAAAUAGUGCCAAGUUGUGUUACAAAGAGUUGUUGUUAGAUAAUGUUGUCAACAGUGAACCUAGCAAGGUUGACCUGUUUAAAUUUUGUUUUGGGAAAAGUUUUAAUACUUGUUAUGUAGUAAAAUACAAACCCCAAGGAUUGAUGUUUUUAACCUUGUUUAAACCUUGGACUGAUGCCCGCUUUGGGACACAAAAGCAUUUGUUGUACUUUCAGUUUUGAUCAGAAAUGCAUUCAUUUUCAUGCACUGAAGUCCUGUAGUUAUCAGGUGUUUACCUGUUUAAUAUUGUGAGACUGUUACAUGCAUAGAAUUAGUUCACAAAAAUGUGGGUUUAUUUUUGACUUGUCCAUGUCAUGGUACACAGUCGUAUCAAACCACAAGUUUGUUGUUUAGCUGCUGUUUUGUAUUUGAAUGUACAAGAAAGUGAUACUUGGGAACAGAACACUUGAGGCUGAAUAAUAGAUGUAAUGCACAUUGUUAUUACAAUAGCUUAACAUAGAUCACACUAUGAGCAAUUUUACAAUUAGCUUUAAAAUACAUUGAAUAUGACAAGAGGAUGGAGAACAGUAAUUUUAUUGAUUAUUGUAAGGUUAUUACAUGAGUAAUAAUGAUUCCAUGGAGAAUUGGAAUCAAAAGUAAUAACAGUAUCAAAUGUUUAUUGUUCAGCCUAGAUCUGUAAAUGAUGCAAUUUAUUUUUAUUUUUAAUAAAUGUUGUAAUGCAGCUGAAUCAACCCGGUGAGUGUUCUUUUAAAGUAUAUUUUUGUGGUGUUUUUGCCUUUAUUAGGUAACAACAGCUAAAAAUAGAUAAGAAAUAGGGGUGAGAGAGAGAAAAAGGACAAGGACCCAUUCAAGGUAAUUAGUUUGUUUAAUUUAAGUGAACUUGAAAAAUUAGUGAGUAGUAAGUUGUAGGUAUUUAGUAAUUCUAAGUGGGGUUAAAUUUGUAUCAAGCAGUCCACACAAAAUGAAAAAAUUGACUUAACACUAAGCAUGGUUAUUAAGUUACAUGAACUUAAUUUUUUUGUUUCUGUUUUACUACUUGAUUUAGUACUGCACACUUAAAAUUAACAAGCUUUUGUAACUCACUAAUCUUAAGAUUACUUUGCUUAAUUUUUUUGAGGCAACGAGUUUGCAUACUUUUUUUAAGUAAGGUCAACUAAUUAGACUUUACAGAGUGUAGGCGCAGCCAGGAUGUCUAAAAAAAUGUGUUUGGAAGCUUCAUGUAGCUGAGAAGCCGCAAAUAUACUAACUGAGGCUGGUGGAUCUGUUAAACUCGCCACUGUGUGAAAGAAACAAAGAGAUAACAAAUACAGUGUUAUCAGACAAACCGUGUAAUUAUAAAUAUACACCCUUUCACACCUUAAUUGCCACGAUCAUCUUGUAAGGCUUAACAAGACAAGAAACUACUAUAACUGCCUAAAAUGACAGCGGUUCUGUGCUACAUUAAUUUUAAAUAAAUUUGAUCACUUGUCUACUUACACUGAAUUAUGGACAUUUUAUUCAAUUUCUCCCCACCUGUGAUAUUCCUGCCAGUUUGACCUGCCCACCACUGGGUAGUGCUAUGUAAAUGAGGUCUGUUUACCAUAUAUUCCAAAAAUAAGUGUAAAAUUGGUGCUACUGAGAUGGAGUGAAGUUGACUAACAAGGUGAAACACAGAAUUGGGUGAUAAUGUUUUGCUACAUGCUUUACAACCAGACAAACCAAAAAAGGGAACAGUAAACUUAAAAGUAGCAACAGAAAACUAGAAGAACUACUAGAAAACACAGUGAACUGAAGAGUUUUAUAAAAAAUAUUUGUGUCCCCCCCACCUCUGAAAUCAAAGUUUCGUCACUGGUGGCCGGAGCUCACACUGGUGGUCGUCACAUGAAUUACACCAAGGGAUUUUCAGACAAAGAUAAUUCUUUGUCUCUGCUUUAGCGUUCGGCCGCAUGGCUUCCAGAUGUGUCCAGCCUCUCUGAAUAUAGAUUUAACUAUGUUACAUGAACUGUAUUCUAAAUACAGGUCGGAUGUGUGUAUAGGUCGGUUUAGAAGGAGAGAGAGGGAGAGAGAGAGAGAGAGAGAGAAUACAAGGAGAGAGCAAAGCUCUUAAAAGCACCGUCAGAGACAAGUUACAUUUACUUUACCACUCAGCACCCAAGCGGCGUGUGUGCUGAGGUUUGACCGGUAAAGUAUCUUUAAAGUUGUUCAAACGGUCACAAUGAGCUGGAGACGCUGCUCACGGCGCUUAAAAAACUAUGGCACAAGGCCGUAACCGGAAACCGGAAGUGGUGAAUCGCCGCUAAAACACUGGAGACUCGGCGGUCUCAUACAAAACAAAUACAUUCAAGUAUUAAAACAAUACGCUACGUAUUAGAUUAACAUCUGCCCAGACAAUAAAGCCUCUUACUUUACCACCCUCGCAGUGUGCGUGCGCGUCGGGCCAGUGAAUCACGUGGUCUCUCAAGCGUUCUUCGGCCGCUGGACCGGACAAGCAGCGGAUUUUCUCGUGCUGCCUCGACGGGAUGAACGUCGUCCUUCUUCUUCAGGGAUGUGGAGCUCGUGCUCCUCAGCGGAAUGAAACUCGCGCUUCUGCAGGGGACGGCUGUGGAAGCCGUUUGUAGAUCGUUGGGAAAAGAAAAGUAAAGUCCGUGGGGAAAGUGAAACAGUCUGAGAUUGUUCCGCGUGCAAUUUCCUGUUUGGUCUUUUCAAGUUAAAAGAGCAAAAGUCCUUUUGAAAAUAAAAACGUCGACUGAGAUAAAAGACAAUGAAAGAAAUGAAAGAAAAUAACUCUGGUUGCCCCCUUUAGCAACUAAAUCAUCUGGAAAGACCCGGAGGGGUCUGUUGACGUCUUCAGAGCAGGGAAAAUGGCAGCGAUUAUUGAUGUCUCAGUGGUUUUAUUCUACCUGAGAGGUCCUGCCUCCUUGAGGUGCUGGUCAUGGGAUGAUGCUGGCUUUAAGCCAAUUGAGUGUCAGAGGUCAAAGGAGAGUGGGAGCGGCCAGGAGCAGAGCAGGGGUUUCUGGGUUUUCUUAAGUUAACACCAGAAGAUACACUCUCCAUGCUGGAUCUUAGAGGGAGACUUUAGCUGGCUUCAUCUUGGCUCAAAGGCCACACUUUUACGACCCAUUGUGUGUGGAUCCCACCACAUGGUUAGUUCUGUAGGGAAUCUUGCCCAACAAUGGUAUCUUAGAAAAUCAUUUUUUUUACCGUGGUAUCGAAAUUGGCAUCGAGAAUCGUGUUAUUUUACUGGUAUUGGAACAGACUACUGAAUUUUUUGGUAUCGUGACAUCCCUAAUAUUAACACUUCUUUGCUGUAGCUCAACAACAUGUUUGUUUGCCUCAACCACUAACACCUCCAAUUCUAUGGCAUUCAAUUUCGCUUUGUGCUUGCGGCCACUCUGCUCUCCGUAAUGCUCUUGCAAAACACUCCUCAUUUAAAUACUGCUGCCUCUACCAAGUUUGCACCUGUUAUCAUUUAUACAAUUAUUGUAAUUUAGCACACUUUAUUCAGGAUCUUUCUAGAUAAUGCCCAAAGUGCUAUAUUUCUGGCUUUAUAUACCAAAACAGGUGCAAACAUAACAACGUUCAAACUGACAUAUUCAAACGACAAUUAUUUAUGAUAAAAUUAAAUUGUUUUUUUUUUCCUUUUAUUUCUUUUUAGCAAUGCCACUUCUCAAACAGUUUCAGACUACAGUGAGGCAGAGGGCUGAACAUCAGAGGAUUUAUAUUUUCAUGCUGUGAGGUUUCUCUUUUUUCCCACUUGAUAGCAGUAUUGGCACAUCUUCUAGUCUUUUGUGGCUCUCACACUUGUACCUGUGACGACUGUGGCUUAGGGGUAGAGGGUUCGUCCUCCAACCUGAAGGGGGAAAGAAGAAAAAGACCUGUGUAUAUAUAAUAUUUUCUAGUUUAUGAAACAACAUCGACUUAUCAGGAGAGGGAGGGUUGUCCAGCAACCGGCAACGUAGGAUAGUAGCGUGACGGAGAACGGCUUCUUGUCACUUCCUGGAUUCCGUGACAAGAGGUGUGGGACUAUGGCUCUGGACCAAUAAGGGAGAACCAAAGUGAUUUGCGGUGGCUCUCCUCCAAUAUUUUAAACCAAUCACAUUAAAUCUACUGUUAUAAUUAUAUCUAGCCUCUUCUGUUCGGGGUCAUUAUUGACUACCUAUUGCUAACUGAUUUAGCCUAGGCUGUGCUAAUUGUCCAUAGCUAUGUUUUUCAUCUUUAAUUGCGUCUCAAUAAAUACUUGAAUUGGACCAGUCCGGCUCAUCUCUUAUUUACGAUAAACCAACACGCCUGUCACUAGUUAAUGAAAGCUCCCUAAUUGGCGAAAUGCAAGGGGCUGUACUGACAUAAAAAAAUCAUAUCCUUAUCCACCAGUCAAAAGAGGAGUUUUAUCAUUUGAACGCGAGUUGCACGUACGCUUCCGAGUAUAAAAGUAACCGCAGGCAUUGUCAGCAUUGCCUAGCACAGCCUUAUUCAUUAUUCGUGUGCAAGUCGCUCAGAGCCACACAUACAAACGCACUCACAAGAUCACAAUGUUGCAAUUAGAACUUAACUAACUUCAAUCACACUGUAUCAGCAAACAAACACAGCUAUGGACAAGUUUCUGAUUCGUUAAAGUCAGGCAACCGAUGCGCAAGCUGCGAAGAAGCCAAAGCUUCGCAAAUAUGACGAGCUAUUUGCAGUUGGGUGUCACCGUCACUGGCACGACGGUGACUAGUAACGUCCUCAGUGUGUUUUUUGUCCCGAGGUGCUGGCAAAUGAGAACAUGAAACCAUGCUUUCGAGUCAGUGCUUCACCGGGCUGUGAAAAUAAUUAACCAUAUUAAAGCUUGUCAACUUAACUCCCUUUUGUGUGGGGUCCUCUGCCAGGAGAUGGGUUCAUGGCACGAACAGCUGUUGCUGCACACUGAAGUUCACUGGCUCUCCAGGGGGCGGGUGUUACAAUGCAGUAUGAGCUGCGAGAGGAGGUAAAGUUGUUUUUGACUGAAAGUCAAACAGAUCUGGCGAAGCACCUGGAUGAUGCCAUGUGGCUUGCCUCUCUCUCCUAUUUAGUGGAUAUUUUUGACCGGCUGAAUAACCUUAACCUGUCUUUGCAAGGCCGCAAAUCUAACGUUCUGCUCCUCGCUGAUAGAGUGAAUGCCUUCACACAAAAAUUGCUCUCUGGCAUGGUCGCAUCAGUUCUGGAAACUGCGACAUGUUUCCCAGCCUUGCAGACUUCAUAGCGAUGAUUGUGGCACUGAUUUCUCCUCUCUCCUCCAAUCAGCUGCUGAUCACCUUUCAGCACUUAAGAAUCAAUCAAUCAUUCAAAUUUUAUUUGUAUAGCCCAGAUUCACAAAUUACAAUAAGUCUCAUAGGGCUUUAACAGGGUGUGACAUCCUCUGUCCUUAACCCUCAGCAAGAGUAAGGAAAAACUACUAAAAACCCUUUUUAACAGGGUAGAAUUACAUAGAAACCUCAGACAGAGCCACAUAUGAGGGAUCCCUCUCCCAGGACGGACAGAAGUGCAAUAGAUGCCACGUGUAGGAAAACAUCAUCCAGAUUAAAGUUUUUAGCAGAAUUGAUGAGGGUAAACAUCCCGAAGGACAACCCCAACAUGACAUGUCAAGCAGUCCCGCUGCAAUCAAAGUCCCUGGUCAGCAACCAGCAGGACCACAAUCCACCAUCCAGACCAGGCGCCACUCCAGUCCUCAGUCACCGUCCGCUGCCGCCCACCACGAGCCUCGGUCCUGGUCCAUCGCCCGUACCCAAUGCCAACGCGACACAGGUUCCGCCACCACGAUCAGCCAACAUGACACAGAAUCCGCCACACUGGAUCAACCACCGCGACCCUCGAUGCGCGAUCCAAAAACCGCAGCAGAGGGGCUUGAUGGCUAAAAGGUCUGGCUCCUACUCUACUUUUAGGGUUAGGGUUAGGGUUAGUCUUUAGGGAUGACAAGUAGGCCUGAAUUCUGGGAUCAGAGUGCUCUAGUGGGUUUAUAAGGUACUAACAGCUCUUUAAGGUAAAAAGACGCUAUAUUAUUAAGGGCCUUAAAGGUGAGGAGGAGAAUUUUAAAUUCUAUUCUAGAUUUAACUGGAGCCAGUUUAGCGAUGCUAAUACUGGAGAAAUGGGCUCUCUUUUCUUUGUUCUCGUCAGGACACGUGCUGGACAAGCUGUAGAGUCUUUAACGACUUCCUGCUGGAGCCUGAUAAUAAUAAAUGACAAUAGUCCAGUCUCGAUGUAAAAAAGGCGUGGACUAGUUUUUCUGCAUCUUUUUGCGAAAAGACAGGUCUGAUUUUUUAGAUAUUACGCAAGUGGAAAAAGGCGGUCCUAAAGAUUUGUUUUAAGUGACUUUUAAAGGAUAAAUCAGGAUCGAAGAUCACUCCUAAGUUCCUGACUGUUUUGUUGGAAGCAAGGGCAAUGUCAUCUAGCGCAGCUAUAUCAUUAAAUAAUAUAUCUCUAAGGUGUUUGGGGCCAAGUAUUAUAACCUCUGUUUUGUCUGAGUUUAAUAAGAGAAAAUUGCGGGUCAUCCAGGUUUUUAUGUCCUUGAGACAUGUUUGAAGUUUAGUUAAUUGAUUACUUUGUUCAGGUUUUAUUGACAAGUAUAACUGGGUGUCAUCCGCAUAGCAGUGGAAAUUUACCAAGUGUGUCCUGAUAAUGUUUCCUAGUGGAAGCAUAUAUAAUGAGAAUAAAAUUGGGCCGAGCACAGAGCCCUGUGGAACACCAUGGUUAACUUUGGUGCGCACAGAUGACUCAUCAUUAAUUUGCACAAAUUGGGAGCGAUCAGAAAAAUACGAUUUAAACCAGUUAAGGGUGGUUCCAUUAAUGUUAAUUAACUGUUUGAGUUUUUGUAAUACAAUUUGAUGAUCAAUUGUGUCGAAUGCUGCACUGAGAUUUAACAGAAUGAGGACAGACACAAGUCCCUGAUCUGAGGCCAUUAAAAGGUCAUUCGUGACUUUUGCCAAGGCUGUCUCUGUACUGUGAUUGGCUCUAAACCCUACUGAAAGUCUACAUAUAUAUUAUUUUCCUGGAGAAACUCACACAGCUGAUUGGCUACAACUUUUUCUAAGAUUUGAGACAUGAAGGGGAGAUUAGAUAUUGGUCUGUAAUUGGCUAAAACCUCUGGGUGACUGUAACAAACUAUUAAUUAGGGGCAGAAUUUCUUUAAGUAAUUUUGUAGGAAUGUGAUCUAAGAUACAGGUUGUUGGUUUAGAACCUGAGAUUAUUUUGGUUAAUUGAUCACGGGUGAUCAAAGAGAAGCUUUCUAAGUAAUGGGUAGGAUUCUCAGCCGUUUGUGAGAUCUCUGUUGCAGGGAGGGUAUUAGUGCCAAUUGAGGGCAGGAGAUGGUUGAUUUUAUUUCUAAUAGUUAGAAUUUUAUCAUUAAAAAAGGUCAUAAAGAUAUUGCUAUUUAGGGAUUGAGGAAUACUGGGUUCGGUGGAGGUGUGACUCUCUGUCAGCCUGGCUACACUGCUGAAGAGAAACGUGGGGUUGUUUUUAUUCUCUUCUAUUAGUUUUGAAUAGUAGGCAGCUCUUGCUCUGUGGAGAGCCUUUUUAUAUUCUCUAACACUACUCUUCCAGUCUAUGAGGUUGCGCUGAGCGCCACUUCCUUUCUAGUUUUCUUGAUAAUUGUUUUAACUCAUUGGUCUGGGAAUUAUACCUCGGAGCUUAUUUACUAUGUUUGACAUGCUUCUUUUUUAGAGGGGCUUUUGAAUCUAAUGUUAAUCAUAAUGAGUCUGCAGAGCUAUCGAGUAGGUGGUCGAUCUCAAUGGAGCUUGGGUUUUUUAAGAAUUUGUUCUUCAUAUCUACGGAUAAUACGGGUUUAAAUGUAAUUGGAAUUAUUUCCUUAAAUUUAGCUACAGCACUAUCAGGUAGACAUCUAGAAAAUUUGUUUUUUAUUAGUGACAUAUAUUCACGGUAUUCAAGGUUAUUAAAUUAUGGUCUUAUAGAACUGGAUUGCGCGGAAGUACUGUUAACUGUUCAAUUCUGACACUGUACGAUAAUAAGUGAAGUGUGUGGUUACAACAGUGAGUAGGUUGGUGUACACACUGACUGAAACCAAUUGAGUCUAGUAUCGAAAUAAAUGCUACGCUAAGGCAAUCUUUUUUACUGUCAACAUGAAUAUUAAAGUCACCAACAAUAAUCAUUUUAACGGUCUUUAGGACUAAGUUUGAUAAAAACUCAGGGAAUUCCGUUAAAAAUGCAGUAUAAGCCCUGGGAGCACGCUUAACUACAGCAAAUAUGAUUGGCUGUUGGUGUUUCCUUGAUUGGCGUGGAUAAUUAAGAACCAGACAUUCAAAUGAUUUGUAGCUGAGUUUAGGUUUAGGAUUAAUUGAUAGACUGGAGUUAAAAAUAGUAGCAACUCCACCUCCUCGCCCAAAUUCUCCGGGAACCUGUGAAUUUAUAUGACUGGGGGGAGUAGAUUCAGUUAGACUGACAUAUUCAUCAGGAUGCAGAGACGUCUCAGUGAGGGAUAAUAAAUCUAUAUGGUAAUCUGAGACUAGUUCAUUAACUAAAAUAGCCUUAGUUGACAGUGAUCUAAUGUUUAAAAGACCACAUUUAAAAGUCUUAGUUCCCUAUGUUGUUUCAGAGGUUGUUUUAAUUUGUAUUAGAUUUUUGUGUGGAGUUCUCACUCUGUUAUUGUUUAAUUUCAAUAAUUGAAUUGGACGGUGGACAGACACAAUCUCUAUGGGGCUUUGUGACUGAUUCAGAGGGAGUGCAGAGAAGUGUUUAGCACUGCAGCUCUGCUUCCUGGUCCCAACUAUGUGUUGUCAUGUAAUAGACUGUGUAAUAUUCCUAGGUAAGAGAGCUGCUCCAUCUCAAGUGGGAUGAAUGCCAUCUCUCCUAACAAGACCAGGUUUUCUAAAAAAGUUAGACGAUUAUCUACAAAGCCCACACUGUUUACAGUGGCAUCAAACUUAUAUGCCAUGCCACGCACUGCAUGAAAAGAAGAAUUUGUGUCAGUCAGUCGCUGCAAAUUUCAGGUUAAUGGCUGUUUACAGGAAUCCUCAGGCAGCACAGAAAAUUGCCACAAACUGCCGGGAAUUGACUCAGGGUUAUCCCACUGCUCUUAGGCCUAGUGGAGGCUUUCACAUGUAAAUGACAAUGCUGUGAGCUUUACAAAUGCAAAUCAGAUGCAACGGUAACACUUUUUUCUAAAAGGAACUAACUAAGGUACCAACUAAAAUAUCUGAUGUAAGUACACCAGACUUAAAGUAAAUAUAAAAUAUGAAAUCGUAGCUUAUAUAGUUUUUCUGUAUGUAAGUAAUUUGGCUAUAAUGAAUUACAUUGCAUAGCAUAAGCAAAGGUGAAUGUAUGAAAACAAUUUGAAAAAGUGCAAUUUAUUUCAGCAUUUGACUGUCAAGCUCAUCCAAGAUAAUAUGUUUGAAUGGAGAGAGUGGCACCACCGCACAGUUUUCUGCUGACACCAAAACACUGUGCUUCACAUAAAGCGUGUCAGUUGUGUCAUUGCGUGUCAAAGUUCAAACCAUUUGGCCUCCCAAAAUACUGCCGCGGGCCCAGUAUGGAUGAGUCGAAGUGGAUAAGACGGGCGCACAAUCCCCAAAUUACGGUAAGAGCUAAGCUACAGAGAGAAGCCACUGCUAACUGCUAAAUUAACUCUUAGAUCUGAAUAGCAUGUUAACAACUGAGGGAUUAGCGAGAGAGUUGCUAAAAGAGAGAGGGCAUUGAGAGCUUGAGUAGAACUAGUGCAUAUUUAAGCAUGUAUGAACUUGUUUUUUCAUUGACGUAACUUUUUGUCCUGAUGUAUUUUAUAGGAAACUGACCGUCUAUUCACACCUCUGAGGCAAACAACUGGCGCCACGAACCGGAGUGAGGAGACUCUGGCUGCCAGUCCGGAUUUGCAGUGUGGAAAAUGAGGUCAUUGAAUCGGCGUAUACUAUGACGUACUAUGGGCCAGAAUGAAGGAACUUCCUGUAAAUCCAGCCGGACUUGGCAGUUCUUGCAGUAGCAUUGAGAAGUUCAGGAGUCGACAGAGAAGAAAGAGGCGGAUUGAAGCGGAACAAAUGACAUGGUGCCAUCCUUCCACAGCCAGGAGCUCACCGACCUGUUUGCCACUCUUCAAAUAAGACUUAUUUAAGAUAAGCUAUACUGAAUCUUACAGCUACACCACAGAUGUCGACACAAAGAACUUAUGACCCAGAGGCGGCAAAGAGACAUUUCAAUCUUCAGCUGAUUAGGUUUUCACUGGCUAGACCAUUUGUGUUUUUACAAUAUUUUUUGCUGAAUGUAAAUAAAGCUUUGACUCAAAUGUU